This 500-nucleotide ribosomal RNA is filed under the name uncultured bacterium. RNAcentral's name for it is "partial 16S ribosomal RNA". It matches the Rfam family "Bacterial small subunit ribosomal RNA", at positions 29 to 523 of the family's 1533-position model. The record is from RNAcentral.
AUUGAACGCUGGCGGCAUGCCUUACACAUGCAAGUCGAACGGCAGCACGGGUGCUUGCACCUGGUGGCGAGUGGCGAACGGGUGAGUAAUACAUCGGAACGUACCUUAUCGUGGGGGAUAACGCAGCGAAAGCUGUGCUAAUACCGCAUACGCCCUGAGGGGAAAGCGGGGGAUCGCAAGACCUCGCGCGAUUAGAGCGGCCGAUGCCGGAUUAGCUUGUUGGUGGGGUAAAAGCCCACCAAGGCGACGAUCAGUAGCUGGUCUGAGAGGACGAUCAGCCACACUGGGACUGAGACACGGCCCAGACUCCUACGGGAGGCAGCAGUGGGGAAUUUUGGACAAUGGGGGCAACCCUGAUCCAGCAAUGCCGCGUGAGUGAAGAAGGCCUUCGGGUUGUAAAGCUCUUUUGUCAGGGAAGAAACACCGGCUCUAACACAGUCCGGGAAUGACGGUACCUGAAGAAUAAGCACCGGCUAACUACGUGCCAGCAGCCGCCGUAA